UACGGAGGGUGCGAGCGUUACUCGGAAUUACUGGGCGUAAAGCGCGUGUAGGUGGUCUUGUAAGUCUGGUGUGAAAUCCCGGGGCUCAACUCCGGAAGUGCAUUGGAUACUGUAAGACUAGAGUGCAGGAGAGGAUGGCGGAAUUCCAGGUGUAGAGGUGAAAUUCGUAGAUAUCUGGAGGAACAUCGGAGGCGAAGGCGGCCAUCUGGACUGCAACUGACACUGAGACGCGAAAGCGUGGGGAGCAAACAGG
RNAcentral lists this ribosomal RNA (253 nucleotides) under uncultured bacterium. Its description in RNAcentral is "partial 16S ribosomal RNA". It matches the Rfam family "Bacterial small subunit ribosomal RNA", at positions 524 to 776 of the family's 1533-position model. The record is from RNAcentral.